UUAAGUUCAGCGGGUAGUCCUACCUGAUUUGAGGUCAAAUUGUCAUUUGUAUUGUCCGAGAGGACGGUUGUAAGCAGCGCAAAGACCCAUUGAAAGCAGACAUCCACGGCGUAGAUAAUUAUCACACCAAUAGACGGUCCACUGCGGGGCGCCAGCUAAUACAUUUAAGGGGAGCAGACUAAUGAAAGCCAGCAAAAGAC
RNAcentral lists this unclassified non-coding RNA (200 nucleotides) under Agrocybe sp. RNAcentral describes it as "partial internal transcribed spacer 2". Lineage: Eukaryota; Fungi; Basidiomycota; Agaricomycetes; Agaricales; Agrocybaceae. The record is from RNAcentral.